Long non-coding RNA from Carya illinoinensis, 929 nucleotides. RefSeq lists it as uncharacterized. The transcript has 3 exons. Lineage: Eukaryota; Viridiplantae; Streptophyta; Magnoliopsida; Fagales; Juglandaceae. The record is from RefSeq and is a predicted model, not a curated record.
UUUGUCUUAAACUUAUUCUGCAGUGAUAACUACUGAAGCCAAAAAUAUCCUUUUGAGACACAUCUAUCAGAGUGCUGAAGAGAAGGAUGUAACAAGUUCUUCAUCUCAUAUCUAAGUACACACACAUGACAUGAUGCAACAAGUUCUUCAUCUCAUACUUAAGUACACACACGACAUACUCAUUUAGUGUGGCCACCAAGUGGAUAUUUGAGACCAAAGAGAGCUGCGAUAUAUAAGUACAAUUGGGUGAUCCCUGUGAUAGUUUAUAAGGAAUGAAGUGAUUAGAGAGAUAUUUACCUUUUUAUUCCAUUCACGUAAUGUCUCAAUCCUCCCAUUCAUCAUCUUCUUUGGGUGAUCGGAAAAAUGCCCCAAUAUGUUUAUGUGGAUCAAUUGCGCGUCUCAAAGUCUCCAACACUUCAAGAAAUCCAAGAAGACCUUUUUUCACUUGUCCAAAUUACAAUAAGGAGGGAAAGCCAUACUGCAAUUACUUUAUAUGGGCAGAUUUUGUAGAAGGAAAUGGAAGUCCACUUGAUCGGCACAAAAGUGAAUUCCAGCAAAGAGAUGAAGAACUUCAAAAGAGAGAGGUUGAAGUCACUAGGAGAGAGAAUGAAGUCCAACAUGUUUUAGAAGAGAUCCAUAAAGAAAAGGAAGAGAUCCAUAAAGCAAAGGAGGACAUCCAAAAGAAAGUGUUGGAUCUUCUGAAUGAACGGGAAGAGCUUCAAAGUCAAGUUAUAGAGAUUAGUCAUGCACGCAUGCUACUAUGCGUAUUUUGGGGACUUUCUAUACUAAUCUCAUGUAUUUUGCUAAGAUCAAGAUCAAUAGAAGAUUAAGUUUGUGUUAGGGACUUUUUGUAUGUUGUUAAGUUAGUGUUUCAGUUUAGCCAGAUUGGUGACUUGUAAACAUUCUACAUUAUGAUGCAGUCUUCAUAA